This is a non-coding RNA of Eublepharis macularius, 711 nucleotides long. The record is from the annotation of a RefSeq genome assembly. NCBI's taxonomy places the organism in Eukaryota, Metazoa, Chordata, Lepidosauria, Squamata, Eublepharidae.
UGGCUGAUCUGGUUUCCUCACAAUGGCUUGGCUCUUGCUUCUCUUUACAAUCCUAGUCUCCAUUGGUCCAAGUUUCCAGCAACUGCAGUCCUUGAAGCCCACGGAGGCCGUUUCGAUAGGUGGGACCGUCAUCUUCUCUUGCAGGCUGAGCAGUGGAACCAUCUCUGACAGCAACUACCCUGUCUGGGUGCAGCAGAAGCAGAGCAACACUCCGAGGCUGAUGAUUUACUACACCAGCAGCAGAGCAUCUGGGGUCCCAGACCGUUUCAGUGGGUCGAGGUCAGGGAACACGAUGUCCCUGACCAUCACGGGGGUCCUGUGGAAGACGAAGCAGAUUAUUACUGUGCUGUAUGGACUGGGAGUGUGUGGCACAGCCAUGCAUUCAGAUGGGGAAGCCAUACAGAAGCAACACUGACCCAGCCCAGCUCCUUCUUGGCAUCUCCAGGAAACAUUACUCAACUCUCCUGUACCUUGACGAGCGACAGCAUCACAGCCUACACUGUAAGCUGGUUUCAGCACAAACUUCAGAGCCCUCCAAAACGGCUGCUGUCUUACAAAGAUGCAUCAAGCCAAGGUAAAGCGGCUGGGAUCCCUGAUAGGUUUUCUGCUUCCAAAGACUCCACCAGCAGCACCAGUUAUCUGACCAUCUCUGGGGUCCAAGCAGAAGAUGAUGCUGACUAUUACUGUAUGAUGUCGAAAGGGGGAGAGUAG